This 481-nucleotide ribosomal RNA is filed under the name Myrmeleon tenuipennis. RNAcentral describes it as "partial large subunit ribosomal RNA". It matches the Rfam family "Bacterial large subunit ribosomal RNA", at positions 1837 to 2578 of the family's 2925-position model. Lineage: Eukaryota; Metazoa; Arthropoda; Insecta; Neuroptera; Myrmeleontidae. The record is from RNAcentral.
AUUAUAAUAUAAAGUCUGGCCUGCCCACUGAAUUUUGAAGGGCCGCAGUAUUCUGACUGUGCAAAGGUAGCAUAAUCAUUUGCCUUUUAAUUAGAGGCUUGUAUGAAUGGUUGAACGAAAUACAAACUGUCUCACUCCUAAAAUUUUAAAAAUUUAGCUUUCUAGUUAAAAGGCUUGAAUUUAGUUAAAGGACGAGAAGACCCUAUAGAACUUUAUAAUUUUUUUUAUAAAUUUAUUUAGUAAAAUAUUUUUUGUUUAUAAAUAUUUUUAUUUUGUUGGGGUGACAGGAAAAUAAGUAAAACUUUUUUAAUUUAAAACAUUGAUUUAUGAGUUUUUGAUCCAUUAUUAGUGAUUAUUAGAAUAAGUUACCUUAGGGAUAACAGCGUAAUUUUGUUGGAGAGUUCAUAUCUAUAACAAAGUUUGCGACCUCGAUGUUGAAUUAAAGAAAUUUUAGAGCGCAGAAGCUUUAAGUAAUAGGUCU